GUGGUCAGUGGAGCGAUGAACAGAGCUCAAGCUUGUUUGGUGGUCUUGUGCUGUUGAGUAAAUGACUGAAGCAUUCUUGUAUAGGGUGUCAUUUCUAAGCCCACUAGGUUGUAGAAAUCAAGCCCAAGCGCCAAGUUCAGUCUAGCAAGUCAUCUGAUCAGAAACAGUGCUGAAAGACUGAGGCUUUUGCAGCAACAGUUAUUGGGGUUUCCAGGAUGAAUGAGUUCAGAUGAACAUUAAAUCUUCAAUUAGUCUUAAUGCUAGUGAUGGAGAAUGUAUGACAUCAUGGAAAUGUAAAAUACUUUCCUAUACCAUCACCAAGCCCAGGCUCUUGCGACUAUUCAGCUUCUGCCAACUUGUCUUCAUUCAUUUGCUGAUCUCAGCCAAGCCCUUGAAGAGCUGGGCAAUGGUAUUAUUUGCAUGGGAGGUGAAGAUGAUGUAGAGAUGGGUGUCAUGUGUGUACUGCUGACAAGUCAGUCCAUGGUGCCACUCUAGAGGCUUUAUAUAGAUAUUGAACAGGCUGGGUGAGAGGAAAGAAUCUUGUGUUAUUCAGCAGGUGGAAAAGGUUUUGGAGGUUAAGGAAAGAGCAAGUGUUUAUCAUAAAUCUCUUGAGUGUACCAAAGAUUUAUGUAAGGGAUGUCCGAAGAUGUACCAGCUCAGUGCUGUGAGGCUGCAGACAGACAUUUAUUUUCAAACAGCUGAGCUGGCUGGAGAUACUACAACCACUCCAGAUGCUUGCUACCAAUCCUCUGCUGAUGGCGCCUGUACCCUUUGCUCUGCUAUUAAAAAAGGUGGUCUAAGGUCUUCCUAAUCUGUCGGGUGAAGCCUCUCAGAUAGUUUUAAGUGCUGACAAAGGUGGUGUUAGUUAACCCCGCUGACAUUGCUUUACCUUUAAGAAAGAGCUGUUUACUAGCACAGCCUAAGUUUUAGAGAGGAGAAAAAGGAAAGAGGAAUGCAGCAGCCUUUCCCACAGAACACAUCCGCAGCUCCAGACAGUUCCUGCAUUGCCUCCUGCAGGUCUGGAGAUGGCUGAGAUUUUUUAUUUUUCCUGGUGGAUGGACAAGAGCAGGAUCAGCGGAGCUCCCCGUGCAGAGGGUGUUAUUCCAGAAGAGCACUCCAUCACUCGCAGAGAGGAGCGAUCCAAUAUGCCUUCUGUCCAGGAGCAGGAGGGGGAAGGAGGGACGAGAGGAGGGGAUAAAGAUGCUUCCUUCCCGGUGCUCGGGGCUGCCAGCCAAGAAUCACUGCCACCUAAGGUGGAGGAUACAGGAAGUGGCCAUCAUUAUUAUGGUGACAAGGAUGUAUCCUUUGAGAUUGUGGCUCCCCUCAGCUGGCAUACACAGGAUGCUGUGACUGGCCUGCUGCGUUUUCUUGGGGACCACUGAAAAGGGUGCUCCCCUGGUUAAAUGAUGGGAGAGAUGCUCAUCUGAGUAAUAGAUGGAAUGCGUACAGUCUCUGUUAAAGAGGUGGCCAUCUUCUUCCCAGCCCUGGAGGCAGAUGUGCUGCAGCAGGAUGGAACAUCCUCCUCCUUUACUCCCCCCCCCCCACCCCAAUAUGUGGAUGCGGUUCCCUUGCAGUGGCAUGGCUCCAUUAGCCACAGUGCGCUCGCUUGAGGAGGGAGUGCAGAGGCUCUGGAAGGUCUAGGUGUGAGAUCAGGGCAGAUCCUUACUUGGUUCAUCUCCUAACCAGCUCACGCAGAGGCCCCAGGCUGCAAAACCUGAAUACUCUGACCUGAAUACAGCCAGGUGCCUGUGCCGCAAGCCUGGUCCUCGCCUCCCUCCACCACUUCUCUUUGCUCUGUUUCAGCUGUGCAUCCUUAAGUGAUUCAGGGGCUUGGGGCCAGAGGGCUCUUUGCCUCGCCGAGCUGAUCCCGAAGAGAAGGGGUGAUGUGCCAGGAGGUCUGGGAGGCGAAUGUCAUUUCAUCACUUUUCUCCUGGGAGAGGUAGAGGGAUCCAGCAUGGGAACAACAGGGGUGGGGGGCAGGGGUUAAUGAGGAGAAACGGGAUAAAUUAAAGCAGGGAAAAUGUAGGCUAAGUAUUGGGGGAAAACAUAUGUUUUAUAAUAAAUAUUACAUGUUUAAGUGCUUGCAAGCCAAGGAUUAUUUGCUCACAAAAAGAAAAUAAGUAAAUUCCAGAGAAUGACUAAAUUAUUGGACACAGUUCCUAACUAGGUACCUAGAAAAUGUGUUGAAUCAGGCUGUCAGUGUGAAUUCCCAGCUCUGGAAAAUAUACCCUAGGGAGCACCAGCUUUCCUGGUUUUCCACUGAUCAUAAUGCCAAAGUGAAAUCUCCUGAGGCUAAGUGCUUGCACAUUAACUAACUUACAGUGCCAUCUAGCCCCAUCUGAGACAUAAGACGUUUAUGAGUGGUUGCUAAUUUUGUUCCUGUAACCGGGAGGCUGAGUCACUUUAGCUCGAACCCACCUCCUAGGUCAUGUGCUUGUGGAUGUAAGUGUAUCUUGGAGUACAUCCCUACGUGCACUGGGAUGUAUUUUUAAAGACUUGUCCACGAGUCACAAAUGUAAAUGCCUGACUGGGAGCCAUCCCAGCUGGACAAAUACAACAUGUUUUCACAGCAGCUUGAUGUUGGUAGGGCAGCUCGGUGUUGCAUAGGUCUCCCUGACGCUUCCCAUUGAUAAGACCUUACUUUGGAUGGCUUAGAGAUUUGACAGCCUGCAACUUCUUGGGCUGGGAGCAUUGGAUGGUUGCUUCAGGCUCUUUGUAGGAAACUUCCCCUAGAGCAGCGUUUGUGCCCUUCCCGAAGGCUGGCUAUGGACCAGUGUGUGGAUUUGCUCAUUCUGGAAAAAAAAACAAACCCAAAACAGCAAAUACAAAAGCGAUAGCGCUGCUGCUACUGUUCAUCUUGUGAAACACGGUGUGGGCAGAGGGCAGUGGCUCUGGCUCCUGCUGCCCACGUUGUGCUGUGGCUGCAUCCCUGCGCCCUUCACCAUCCUCACCCCAGAUGCAUUCUCCCCUGAGAGACGGGGCCGUGGGGCGAGCUCUCAUGUCCCGCCAAAGGCCACGGAGUGUAGAGAGAUGCCAUGGGCUCCCUGGUGCAAGGGCUCGGGGUCCCCUGACAUCUGAGAGAAUCCUAAAGUUGCUCUGUUGGCUCUUCGGGCAUCUGUUUUUUUGCCUGCGUGGGCUCCAGAGGGUUUCAGGGGGUGUUGCUGGGGGCUGUGGGUUUGGUGCAAUGUUGUGUUUUUGAGUCUGCUAAGCUUGUGUCAGCCUUUCUUUUCUGCCUUGCAAAAGAUUAAUGCAGGGAAGCUGUCUAGACUGCCAAAGGUAGCGAAGUAACCUUUUCCUAUAGAGAAAAACACCCAUUAUCCUAUCUGGGCUUGGACUACAAGAGUGUUGUUUUGUACUUUCUCCUUUAUGUUUCUUUUUUUUUUCUUUUUUUUCCUUGUGUGCUCACAGUAAAGUCCAUAGCCAGACAUAUGCUCACGGCCUGGAAUGAAGUCGACUGCAAUUACAUCCUAAGGGAGUCGCUCAACAGGGGUUUUGUGAAGGCAGGACACAGGCUUUGGUGGAUGGAGCCUGUUGCUGCUGCACAUGUGCUGUUAGACCUCCAAGUGCACUCACUCUGCCUUCAGCUUGGUGGGAACGAGGAGCAGAAGGCCCAGAAAUACAGCCAGUCUGGUGCACAUCUGGAGACAGUAACGUGAGGCAAAGUGUGCACCUCCUGUCCUCGAAUAGGGUGUUUUCUUGCAUUAGCUAUUUCAGCACAUCCGCACCAAAAUGCUGCCUUUUAAACGUGCUUGUGCCAUGUUCCCUGUGCUCCAUGUCAGUCUGAACGUCCAAGCGUAAAGGUGCUUGGAGCUGGGUUGCAGGGUCUGGGCCUCUCUCUGUGGUACUUUCAACUUACUUCCUUCAUCUCCAAAAGGAGCAAGAAGCACAUGCUGUGGCAACGCAGUCGUUUAAUCCAGGCUGGUGAAACCUGUUCUCCAGAUGAACAACUGACGGAUCAUUUGCUCCGUAGCUCUGCAUAUGAAUGCAAUGUUUGCUGGGGCGGCUGGAUAUUGGUGCCAGCUUUCCACUCGUUUCCAGCAAAGCCAAACAGCAGCCUGACCGUGGAUCUGCUUCCAGUUCCUUCCAGGCUUGUGAAGCUCGGGAUGGGAACGUGUUUGCCUGGGGAGGCAGGUGAUACCUGAAAGGGUGCAGCCAAAACUAACAAAGAUUUUGUAACGCGAGGAGCCUGGGCUGCUGAGUAACAGCUGACAAUCUCAUGGCCUGGCUGAUGGCUCAGUGGCGGCUCACUACCAGGGAGAGGACUCUGGUGUGCUCCUGGUGGCAGCCACUGCUCUGGCAAACAGCGUUAGAAACUUUACAGGUGAAUAUGCGAUGUUUAUGCAGCUGUUUUCUUUCUUUUUGGCUUAAGGAACAAGCCCAGCUCUACCAGGGCCCGUUCAUGCCCCAUGAAUUUCUUGAUCUGCUUGCGUUGCCUCUGAGGAUGGAGAGAUGAAAGAAGCUGCUUUCAUUUGAACUGCAAUUCAGACUUCUUUAAUUUUUUUAUUUUUUUUUUUUAAGAAGGGUACAUGUUUAAUAUUUUUGGGGCCAGCACUGUGAAGCUGGCUCAGGCUUCAGAAACACUUUCCAAAGUUUGUUGUCUGGAAUAGCAUGCUCUAAAAAUGCAUUGCGUCACGUUGCACUAGCCGGUCCAGCCUCCUACUGUGGCUGUACAACAGGGGUUUCCUUUCAGUUCAGAGGACAGUGGUCUCAUGCAUCUGGUUGCAGAAGGCCCCCUUGCAAGAGCAGCUCUCCUUCCAAGCUUGAUUAGCUUGGCAUCAUCUGGACUCUGUGAGGCAAGGAGCUUUGAGGCUUCUGGCUCCAACUUCAUGGUAGCCCCAUUUGCCUGCUGUUUCGAUCUGUCUCCCAUCUAUAGCUCUAGCUGGUGUAGGUGGUUUUUAAUGGACAGAUUUUAUUGAUCAUAGAUGGUGUCAGAUUAACAAGCUUGGGGGUGUGAAGUAACUUGGUCACCUACCAAUUGGUGGGGGUGGGAGAACAAGGACCGUUCUCCCAACUCCCACGGCUUUGCCAGUGCGACGGUCCUGGAGCAAUCAGUCACCUCUGUGGAUGAACUCAGUGUUCAGUUGAGGGUUUGACCCAUCAGCUGGGGCUGUGAAAUCUGUUCUGGCUGCCAUGAUACUUAACUACUGUUUUGACUGUUUUCAGCUGAAGCCUAGCAAAGGCAUUGGAAGCCCUCACUGGUUGAUUUGAAUGUGCUCAGGAUCCAUACUGGUUUAGAAUCCUAAGAUCCGUAUUAUGAUCUGUAUUUGUUGCACAUUGCAACAGUUUCUUUCUCUCUCUCUCUCUCUCUCUCGCUCCCUCUUAUGCACCUCCAGCGCCUGGCUCUGUGCUAGACGAAACCCCGGGGGUGUUCGGGGAGUGCAGGUCUGGGCUGUGUAUCACCCUGUCGCCAGGACUGAGCUGGGAGAGGUCAGUACAUGUGCACACAGCCCAGAGCAAUGCGUGCUUGGGGGGAUGGGAAGUUUGAAAGGAUGACUGGUAUUUUAUCUGCAGUUUAGCAUGGCUUAGGUUUGUCAGCAAGACACCACAGUCCUGAAAUUUUAAGCCUGAGGCAGAGCUGGGAAGAACAACCUAGAGCUCCUGAGUUGCUGUUUAGGGCUUUGGAUACAGCUUCGGUCCAAGACUCCCCCUUCUUAAAAGCAGAGAGAUGUUGAAGUGUGGUAUUUCCAUUUGUUAUGUGAAGUCCACUCAGACCUAUUCACCCCCUUGCCUUUCUGCCUUUGCUUUUUUUUUUGAUGGGGGGAGAGGCAAGCAUUAAUAAGGAAGAGAGUAAAUCUUGCUUAAAGUUUUUUUUUCUUGCUGCACCAGUGUCCCACCCCAUGGCCUGCACUAAAAAGGCAAAAGCACUCCUGCAGAGCAAGUUUAGCAGCGCACAAAAUGAUCUCUCUCCUCCUCAGAGCCCAGAACUCCCCCAUCUCACCAGCCUUGUAGCCCAGCUGUCCCAGACCCCAGGCAGCAGGGACAGAUAGCAGCAGGCUGCUCGCCACACUGCAGCCCCAGUGAUGGAGCUGAUAAUGGGAAGGAUUUCUUGGUACAGUAUGAGGAUGAAGCCUCUGAAAAAAUAUUGUCUAGUUAUGGUGGGAAGAAAGAAAAAUUAAGCAAGCACGCACACGUUCAACCUCAGACUCACGUAACUUUGAAGGGUUUGGUUGUGCCUGAGUUUUUUCUCAGCUGCUGUUCCCUGGCCUGCUCCCGGCACAGCUCCACCGCUGGAGCAACAGCUGGACAGCUGACAUGCACCAUGACACUGCCAGGUCUCCUCACUGCAGAUCAAGCCUUGCACUCUGAUACUUGGGGAUUUCCUUGAAGCCCUUGUGCCUCUCUGCCAGAGUGCUGAGAUGGCAUGAGAAUCUUGGCUUCUCAUGGAAGAAAAAGAGGAGGGGUAAAAAAAGCUAAUUAAGAAAGAAAAGGUUUCUAGCGCUCAUGAUUGUGUAGGGAAAUUAAAAAAUGGGAAAUGAGUGUGACCUAUAGUAAAAUAAUACAAGUAUAUUCUAUGGUUUUGCCCCUAGUGGGGCUGUACGAAUUGUUUGGAUGAUGCAGGGGAGAAAAUAGAGCCACACUCAGCACUGCAGCCUUGUUGCCACUGCUGAAAGAAGAGCAGUGAAAACUUAUUUCACCACUGUGGAUGCCAACCCGUAAUAGGCAGUGGCUCUAGUUGUGGUGGUUGGUGCUUCCUAUGCCUGGCUGCUCCCUUUUGCCAAAGUUUACUGCAGUGGUGGUGGUUGCCCAAGGAAGGGUAUGGUGCUCCAUCACAGGUUAACUCCUAAGUCUUAGGAUGCUUUGGUAAGUGAGGUGCUAGUCCAGUCUGUGGAAAUCUUGGUCUUGAAUUAUAAUUUCUUUUAAGUGUUAGACCUUGCCUGCAAAAAUGAAGUUUUUCCUGGACUCACUUUUCAGUAUUGCUGCUAUUCUUUCCAUCCUCUAUCUUCAUUGCUUCCACUGUGGGUACAGAGAUGUGAGCUUUCAAUACCUGGAAGUUUCCAUCCUGUUUGUUAGCAGCACUCUGCAUGAAAGAGACCAUGAGAAAUUGGAGAUGCUACAGGUAAGCAUCCGAGAAUUAAUCCUCCCUUCCUCAAUGAGGCAGUGUGUUUUUGCGGUGGAAAGAGGACUCAUGAGUGACAGAGCAAAAAAUCAGCGAUUACUAUUUGGCAGGAGAUACUUAAACUUUGUCAAGCUAGGCAAGUAUCUCCAUUGUGGUCUCUGACUCACAAUUCAAAUAUGCUGGGAACAUUUGAGGGGGCUGGGUCAGUUCUUUAAGCAGUGGGAAAAACAAGGCUUUAAUACAUCACGGCGUAGCUUUGGGUCUGUGCUCUACUGUUUCUGCUUUUCUUUGAGGAAACUGGUGUCACUAGCAGGGGGGAAAGGGAGGUAUUGUGAAACCGCACACACAUGCACAUGUGAUUUUGAUCCCUCCUAACAGUGUUGCAGACUCAUUUGAUUGUGGUGGCUGAGCGGAAUCGCUUCUGGACAAGCUUGAGAAGUGAGCCCAUGCAAACCUCAUGAGGUUUGACAAGGCCACGUGCAACGUCCUGUUCCUGGAUCAGGGCAACCCCCAGUAUCAAUACAGGGUGGGGGAUGAAGGGAUUGAGGGCAGCCCUGCUGAGAAGGACGUGGGGGAACUGGUGGAGGAGAGAUCGGACAUGAGCCAGCAAUGUGCACUUGUAGCCCAGAAGGCAAAUUGUAUCUUGGGCUGCUCCUAUGAGGAUAGCCUGAGAGAGUUCGGGUUGUUCAUCCUGGAGAAGAGAAGGCUUCAGGGAGACCUUAUUGUGGCCUUUCAGUACUUAAAAGGGGACUAUAAGAAAGAUGGGGACAGAUGGGGGCCUGUUAUGAUAGGACAAGGGGUAAUGUCCUCAUAGGAGAGGUGUUGCACCCCUCUGGUCAUCUUGGUGGCCUCCCCUGGACCCUCUCCAACCGGUCCAUGUCUUUCCUGCGCUAAGGGCUCCAGAGCUGAAUGUAGGACUCCAGGUGAGGCCUCACCAGAUCCUGUUGCAUGAGUGAGAGCAGCUGCUGGUGGUGGGGUUGCCCCUCUGUGCUCCUCCAGCUGGAGGCAAACACCUGCUCAGGGAUGCUUCCUGUUAAAUACAGUUGUGAAGCAGGCAGAUGCUUUCAGCCUGUGGAUUUGCACUUUCUGCUUCUGGGAGGGGCUGGAGGGAGAACAGGGAAAGGGCGCUGGAGGAGUAUGGCCAAAAAAGAGCAAGACCAGGCGAGGAGCAGCCAUAUGGCAGAUGAGCUGUUGGCUCCGUAAUUAAGCCAAGUGCUGGGGAUGCGAGAGGCUCGGCUGUGCUCAGUUCAGAGCCCGGCUUCCUGUGUGUUCCUCCCCACUAUGUUUCUAACCAGAAAUUCCAUCUUUGACCCGAAAAAUCUUCCAGAUGAAAAUUUAAUUACAGAAGCGAUGUAUUCCCACAAGAAACUUCAUUGUCAGCAAAUAAGCAUUGUUUUUGGUGAAAAACUGUUUUAAUCAUGCAGACAAAAACCUGGCUCCCAUUGAUUCCAUGCUAGAGCAUUACCCUGGUAAAAUCUCUAGUGUUUUGUUUAAUAAAAAAUUAUUAUGAUGUGCAAUUAGCAUCCAGUAGGCGUAUAAGUUACAAAGAAUUGUCACCAACAUUGUGGUCCUCCCAUACUGGAUACAGUUUAUCAGCAAGUUAUUAAAUCAUGACCUAUGUUAUGCCUGGGAUUUAUAAAAGGUUACUGGCGCUGGAGAAGUGGGAUGAAAGAGACAUGGGAGUGUAAACCCAGAGAACAAGAUUUUCUUUCCUUUGUGCAACAGAUGCCUGCUUUCUGCACAGCGAAGGUGCGCUUUUCCUCCAGCUGAUGUGAUUUGUAACACAGACUUUGUAAAUAUUUUCCAUAUGCAAAGGUCUUCACCCACAGUUGUUAUUGGUUCCAUAUUUACUCGGGAUCUUCGCAUGCAGAGGAUGGAUUUUGGCUUGCGAGGAGGAACUUCUGUGAGGCUGGACCGUUUCCUCUCGCACAACGAGUCUCUUCAGGAUUGUGCGUAAUGCACCGAAAGCCUGCUAGGGCCAAUGUGCUUUUCCGCGUAACAGAAAACUUUGCAAGCUCGUUAAUAAAGGCCAAAUAAAAUAAAGCUGAGAAAGUCAACAUGUUUGAAAAGAUACGCUGCUCUGGAAAAGAAGCGGAGAUGUGGUGUGUAUUUAUGUGAACAAAAGAAGUCUAAACUGUAAACUAUAAUAUAUCUGUUAGCUCA
This is a long non-coding RNA of Columba livia (rock pigeon), 9220 nucleotides long. RefSeq lists it as uncharacterized. The transcript has 5 exons. Lineage: Eukaryota; Metazoa; Chordata; Aves; Columbiformes; Columbidae. The record is from RefSeq and is a predicted model, not a curated record.